This 253-nucleotide ribosomal RNA is filed under the name uncultured bacterium. RNAcentral's name for it is "partial 16S ribosomal RNA". It matches the Rfam family "Bacterial small subunit ribosomal RNA", at positions 524 to 776 of the family's 1533-position model. The record is from RNAcentral.
UACAGGGGGGGCAAGCGUUGUUCGGAAUUACUGGGCGUAAAGGGCGCGUAGGCGGCCGCCUAAGUCAGACGUGAAAUCCCUCGGCUCAACCGGGGAACUGCGUCUGAUACUGGGCGGCUUGAAUUCGGGAGAGGAAUGCGGAAUUCCAGGUGUAGCGGUGAAAUGCGUAGAUAUCUGGAGGAACACCGGUGGCGAAGGCGGCAUUCUGGACCGACAUUGACGCUGAGGCGCGAAAGCGUGGGGAGCAAACAGG